RNAcentral lists this ribosomal RNA (464 nucleotides) under uncultured bacterium. RNAcentral's name for it is "partial 16S ribosomal RNA". It matches the Rfam family "Bacterial small subunit ribosomal RNA", at positions 28 to 506 of the family's 1533-position model. The record is from RNAcentral.
GAUGAACGCUGGCGGCGUGCUUAACACAUGCAAGUCGAACGGAAAGGCUCCUGCUUGCAGGGCUACUCGAGUGGCGAACGGGAGAGUAACACGUGGGCGAUCUGCCCUGCACUUCGGGAUAAGCCUGGGACACUGGGUCUAAUACCGGAUAGGACGAUGGUUUGGAUGCCAUUGUGGAAAGUUUUCCGGUGUGGGACGAGCGCGCGGCCUAUCAGUUUGUUGGUGGGGUAAUGGCUUUCCAAGGCGUGGACGGGUAGCCGGCCUGGGAGGGUGAACGGCCACAGUGGGACUGGGAUGCGAGCCGGGCGCCAUCGGGGGGCAGCAGUGGGGGAUAUUGCACAAUGGGCGCAAGCCGGAAGCAGGGACGCCGCGUGGGGGAUGACGGCCUUCGGGUUGUAAACGCCUUUCGCUAGUGACGAGGCGCGAGUGACGGUACCUGGAGAAGAAGCACCGGCUAACUACGG